GCCUGGGUGGCUCAGUCGGUUAAGUGUCUGACUUCAGCUCAGGUCACGAUCUCACAGUUCGUGGGUUUGAGCCCCACACGGGGCU
This 85-nucleotide transfer RNA is filed under the name Felis catus (domestic cat). It matches the Rfam family "tRNA". Rfam says of the family: Transfer RNA (tRNA) molecules are approximately 80 nucleotides in length. Their secondary structure includes four short double-helical elements and three loops (D, anti-codon, and T loops). RNAcentral also lists the same sequence under 1 other name. Lineage: Eukaryota; Metazoa; Chordata; Mammalia; Carnivora; Felidae. The record is from Rfam by way of RNAcentral.